GACGAACGCUGGCGGCGUGCUUAACACAUGCAAGUCGAACGGAAAGGCCUCUUUCGGGGGGUAUUCGAGGGGGGACGGGGGGAGAAAACCGUGAGAAACUGCCCCUUAACUUUGGGUUAACUCCAGGAAACGGGGGCUAAAACGGGUAAGAGGCUCUGCCGCAAGGGGGGGGGUGGGAAAGUUUGGCGGUUGGGGGUGGACUCGCGGCUUAUCAGCUUGUUGGUGGGGGAGUGGCUUACCAAGGCCUUGACGGGGGGCCGGCCUGAGCGGGGGACCGGCCACAUUGGGACUGAGAUACGGCCCAGACUCCUACGGGAGGCAGCAGUGGGGAAUAUUGCACAAUGGGUGGAAGCCUGAUGCAGCAACGCCGUGUGCGGGAUGACGGCCUUCGGGUUGUAAACCGCUUUCGCUCAUGACGAAGCUUUGUGUGACGGUAGUGGGUAAAGAAGCACCGGCUAACUACGUG
Molecule: ribosomal RNA, 466 nt
Filed under: uncultured bacterium
Lineage: Bacteria
Description: partial 16S ribosomal RNA
Rfam family: Bacterial small subunit ribosomal RNA
Source: RNAcentral